This 443-nucleotide ribosomal RNA is filed under the name uncultured bacterium. RNAcentral describes it as "partial 16S ribosomal RNA". It matches the Rfam family "Bacterial small subunit ribosomal RNA", at positions 338 to 795 of the family's 1533-position model. The record is from RNAcentral.
CCUACGGGCGGCAGCAGUGGGGAAUAUUGGGCAAUGGGCGCAAGCCUGACCCAGCAACGCCGCGUUAAGGAAGAAGGCCCUCGGGGUGUAAACUUCUUUUUUCAGGGACGAAGAAAGUGACGGUACCUGACGAAUAAGACACGGCUAACUACUUGCCAUGCGCCGCGGGAAGACGUAGGUGGCAAGCGUUAUCCGGUUUUACUGGGUGUAAAGGGCGUGUAGGCGGGACUGCAAGUCAGAUGUGAAAUUCCAGGGCUCAACCCUGGAACUGCGGUUGAAACUGUAGUUCUUGAGUGAUGGAGAGGCAGGCGGAAUUCCGUGUGUAGCGGUGAAAUGCGUAGAUAUACGGAGGAACACCAGUGGCGAAGGCGGCCUGCCGGACAUUAACUGACGCUGAGGCGCGAAAGCGUGGGGAGCAAACAGGAUUAGAUACCCGAGUAGUC